GUGUUGGUGGUAUAGGGGUGAGCAUAGCUGCUUCCAAGCAGUUGACCCAGGUUUGAUUCCCAGUCAACACA
RNAcentral lists this transfer RNA (71 nucleotides) under Tupaia belangeri chinensis (Chinese tree shrew). Its description in RNAcentral is "Tupaia chinensis (Chinese tree shrew) tRNA". It matches the Rfam family "tRNA". Rfam says of the family: Transfer RNA (tRNA) molecules are approximately 80 nucleotides in length. Their secondary structure includes four short double-helical elements and three loops (D, anti-codon, and T loops). The record is from Rfam by way of RNAcentral. Lineage: Eukaryota; Metazoa; Chordata; Mammalia; Scandentia; Tupaiidae.